GGCAGCUGGAGAGCAGAGGAGCGGAGUGAUCUGUGAGCGUUUACUCCCCCCUGGCACGCAGGAGAGCAGAACAGGGGCUGUAUGAGUGUUUACAUCUAGGAGGAAAAAUGGAUGCACAUCUGAGGUGAAGGUUUAUGUUUAAUAUUUGUGUCACUGUAUCAUAUAUUUGAACUGCAGCCUAUACCUGGCCAAUGGACUGCGAAUCCCAAGAACCAAGACUGUCCUUUGGGGUGAGGUAGUAGGUUGUAUAGUUUUAGGGUCAUGCCCUUCCUGUCAGAUAACUAUACAACUUACUGUCUUUCCUGAAGUGACUGUAAUGUCAUCGUCCUCCACAAAUGGACCAACCAUGGAAUCCUUACAGCAGUGCAAGUGCCUUUGUGAUACUCAAAAGUCAAGACUUAUACAUAAACAUGGUAUGAGAUGGUUUGAUGUCAAAUUAAAUGGUGUGCAUGUCUGUAUUGCAGACAGUCAAUAAAGUUGCAUUUUUUGGUGCAGUAAAUACACGUACAAUAUACAUUUUCUGUUAAGAUAUAUUAAGUGUUGAAUAAAUCUGGCUGUAUUUUGCCUUUAUAUAAUAAUGAUUAUAUGCAGAAACAUCUGAAAAAUGAUGUCUAUCCUACUUCUUCACUGACUUGAUAGCCACAACCCACGAACAAUGGACUUUCUGUCCUCUAUCUCAAAGUACUGAGAGCAAUGGACUUUCACUGGUACUUUCUGUCCUGAUGGCAACCAAUGAUGUUCGCACAGGGUGAGGUAGUAGGUUGUGUGGUUUCAGGGUAGUGAUUUUGCCCCAUCAGGAGAUAACUAUACAACCUACUGCCUUCCCUGGAGGGCAGCGAUACAGCGCCAGAUUACACAGCAGUUCAAGUCCAUCAGGGCCAAAGAAAGACCAGAUGCAGGCCAAGUCCAUUCUAGAAAAAAACCCAAAGCUACCUCACCUGGGAUGUCUAUGUACAGUAUGAGUGGGACAUUACUUCAGGUAGGACAGUUCCAAAUUCUCUGUGUUAGCCUCACAUUGGUGAACACUCAAUUCAUUUUUCCACUUCGCUUGCCUGUCCCCAACAAUUGCUCUUGCAUGUUCAAUGUGAGAUGAAUAAAAACAAUUGAUUGUUGCUUAA
Molecule: long non-coding RNA, 1118 nt
Organism: Sardina pilchardus (European sardine)
Lineage: Eukaryota; Metazoa; Chordata; Actinopteri; Clupeiformes; Clupeidae
Exons: 2
Source: RefSeq, a predicted model, not a curated record